Molecule: ribosomal RNA, 258 nt
Filed under: Triticum aestivum (bread wheat)
Lineage: Eukaryota; Viridiplantae; Streptophyta; Magnoliopsida; Poales; Poaceae
Description: partial small subunit ribosomal RNA
Source: RNAcentral
AUGGCGGCCGCAGGAGAUCCUCUCCAAGGUCAAGCACGUCCAGGCCAAGCCUGCUGGCCGCCCUCGCGAGUGACUGCCUCCACGAUGACGAGGGCGGCCUCGUCGUCCCCAGAGGCUGCGGUGCCCCUCAAGGCCGACCUCCGCCACGUGAGUGAUCCGUCGAUCUCGUCUCUCCAGUGUUCCGGAUGCACGCACGAGUUCGACCUGGACAAGCUGCCGGUGCUGCAGGAGGUGGUGGAUUUCUUUAGUGGCCACUGA